RNAcentral lists this unclassified non-coding RNA (662 nucleotides) under Hevea brasiliensis (rubber tree). The record is from RNAcentral. Lineage: Eukaryota; Viridiplantae; Streptophyta; Magnoliopsida; Malpighiales; Euphorbiaceae.
UUCCCAGUACUUCUCCUGCUCAAUACCGCAAGAACAAUUCUUUACUUAGAUCCCAGAAACUUGCAGCCCCAAACAAGGAACACAAGAAUUCAAAUGACUUUUAGACCACCAAAAUUAAGACAAUCCCAUUUAGUUGGAUUAUGUGAUAGAAAUGAUAUUUGCAUCCAAGUGUAGACAGAUAAGAAAAGGUGGUUGAUGAGGGCUCACAAAAACCCAAUAAAAUCCAUGAGUGAGAAAAAAUAAACUAUGAUGAUUAAGAACAAGACAUUCAUAACUCAAAGAGUAAAAAUGAUCAGCCAGCAAGCUUUGGUGGUUUUAGCAAAGCUCACAGAACUAGGGCUUUUUUCUUCCUUCCUUUUAGAACCUACACGCAAUAUUUUGGAAGCAGGGGCAGAUUUUUAAGACUAAGCUUCUUAUAAUUCAAGAUGAAACAUGUUAAUCUUCUAUCACGGAAAUAGACAACAGCCAUUGGAGUUCUUAACAACCAUAGCAUAAAAAAUUGAUAAAAACCCAUAAAACAAAUUUAGCUAUAUCCUUAUCUACCAGCUUGUCCACGAAGAACCCCAGGAUCUAAUACUAAGCAAAUAAUUCUAACAGCCAAAGCCAGAAUUGAAACAUAGUAAAAACUAACGAAAAAGCUGAUGGGAAAAUAGUGACGGGAG